CAGGAUCCCCGUCCAUUGCCUUAUCUGGCUGAAAAAGUCUCUAAAAAUUAUGACAUUCAGUUAGAGGUUGAAAUCAAACAUGCUGGCGCAAAGGAUUCAACUGUGGUCACCAAGAGUAAUUUCAAUCACUUAUAUUGGACAUUGACUCAACAGAUAGCACAUCAUACUAUUAAUGGUUGCAACUGAAGACCUGGCGAUCUCCUGGGAACCGGAACCAUUAGUGGACCUGAGCCAGAGUCCUUGGGAUGCUUGUUAGAGUUGUCAUGGAAUGGACAGAAGUCACUAUCAUUGAAAGGGGCAACCCGUAAAUUCCUAGAAGAUGGUGAUAAAGUUAUCAUCACUGGUUUUUGCAAGCUUGCUUGCUGUGUAGAAAAUGGCCUGCCUAUGCUAAUAUUCCUGGUUAUCUCCCAACAGUUUUAUGGUGCAACAACAUUUUUCAUUCAUAGAUUAGACUUCAGUGUCUCCUUGGUUAUGCUUUAUAUGAAGGUAAGAGCUUAAUGGCUCUUUAUUUGGAAAUAUAUUUUAGUACUUGAAAUUUUUGUUAGUACUUUCUUUAAAAUUACUAAAGAGAUGUCAAAUGAAAAUAUGAAAUGAAUAGUGUGGCACUAGAAUAUUGAAGUGCUAGUGUGGUAGUGAACA
Long non-coding RNA from Humulus lupulus (European hop), 639 nucleotides. RefSeq lists it as uncharacterized. The transcript has 6 exons. The record is from RefSeq and is a predicted model, not a curated record. Lineage: Eukaryota; Viridiplantae; Streptophyta; Magnoliopsida; Rosales; Cannabaceae.